This 468-nucleotide ribosomal RNA is filed under the name uncultured bacterium. Its description in RNAcentral is "partial 16S ribosomal RNA". It matches the Rfam family "Bacterial small subunit ribosomal RNA", at positions 28 to 507 of the family's 1533-position model. The record is from RNAcentral.
GACCAACGCUGGCGGCGUGCUUAACACAUGCAAGUCGAACGGAAAGGCCCUGCUUUUGUGGGGUGCUCGAGUGGCGAACGGGUGAGUAACACGUGAGUAACCUGCCCUUGACUUUGGGAUAACUUCAGGAAACUGGGGCUAAUACCGGAUAGGAGCUCCCGCUGCAUGGUGGGGGUUGGAAAGUUUCGGCGGUUGGGGAUGGACUCGCGGCUUAUCAGCUUGUUGGUGGGGUAGUGGCUUACCAAGGCUUUGACGGGUAGCCGGCCUGAGAGGGUGACCGGCCACAUUGGGACUGAGAUACGGCCCAGACUCCUACGGGAGGCAGCAGUGGGGAAUAUUGCACAAUGGGCGGAAGCCUGAUGCAGCAACGCCGCGUGCGGGAUGACGGCCUUCGGGUUGUAAACCGCUUUCGCCUGUGACGAAGCGUGAGUGACGGUAAUGGGUAAAGAAGCACCGGCUAACUACGUG